CCUACGGGUGGCUGCAGUAGGGAAUUUUCGGCAAUGGGCGGAACCCUGACCGAGCAACGCCGCGUGAACGAAGAAGGUAUUCGUAAUGUAAAGUUCUUUUAACAGGGAAGAAAGAGAAAUUUGACGGUACCUGAAGAAUAAGCUCCGAGUAACUACGUGCAAGCAGCCUCGGUAAUACGUAGGGAGCGAGCGUUAUCGGGAUUUAUGGGGCGUAAAGGGUGCGUAGAGGGCAUAGUAAGUCUUUUGUAAAAAGGCUGGGCUAAACCCAGGAGGGCAAAAGAUACUGCAAAGCUAGAGUAUGACAGAGGCAAGUGGAACUACAUGUGUAGCGGUAAAAUGCGUAAAUAUAUGUAGGAACACCAGUGGCGAAGGCGGCUUGCUGGGUCGAUACUGACAUUGAGGCACGAAAGCGUGGGGAGCAAACAGGAUUAGAUACCCGAGUAGUC
Molecule: ribosomal RNA, 446 nt
Filed under: uncultured bacterium
Lineage: Bacteria
Description: partial 16S ribosomal RNA
Rfam family: Bacterial small subunit ribosomal RNA
Source: RNAcentral